RNAcentral lists this small RNA (76 nucleotides) under Xanthomonas oryzae pv. oryzae. Its description in RNAcentral is "sX9". It matches the Rfam family "Xanthomonas sRNA sX9". The record is from RNAcentral. Lineage: Bacteria; Pseudomonadati; Pseudomonadota; Gammaproteobacteria; Lysobacterales; Lysobacteraceae.
AUGUACCACGGGUCCGCUGCGGUUCUGAGCGCGCCGUCCGCGCCCCCCCGACAGCUGCUCCGGAGGGGUGUUUGCC